GGAUUGUGGCUCAGUGGUAGAGUGCUCACUUGGCAUGCACAAGGCACUGAGUUCAAUCCUCAGCACCA
This 68-nucleotide transfer RNA is filed under the name Marmota monax (woodchuck). RNAcentral describes it as "tRNA.Undet". The record is from RNAcentral. Lineage: Eukaryota; Metazoa; Chordata; Mammalia; Rodentia; Sciuridae.